GACUAACGCUGGCGGCGUGCUUAACACAUGCAAGUCGAACGGAAAGGCCCUUUUGUGGGUACACUAGUGAUGAAGGGUUGCGUAACACGUGUGUGAAAUGCCCUGCAAUUUGGGAUAGGCGUGGGCAACUGGGUCUAAUAUCGGGUACGACUUCGCGAUUCUUGCCGUGUGGUGGUAAGCUUUUGCGGUGUGGGAUGAGCGCGCUGACUAUCAGAUUUUUGGUUGGGUGAUGGCCUACUGAUGCGCCGAUGGGUAGCCGGCCUUAGAGGGUGUCCGGCCACACUGGGACUGAGAUACGGCCCAGAAUCCUACGGGAGGCAGCAGUGGGGAAUAUUGCACAAUGGGCGAAAGCCUGAUGCAGCGACGCCGCGUGGGGGAUGACGGCCUUAGGGUUGUAAACCCCUUUCAGCACAGACGAAGCGUAAGUGACGGUAUGUGCAGAAGAAGCACCGGCCAACUACGUG
RNAcentral lists this ribosomal RNA (464 nucleotides) under uncultured bacterium. RNAcentral's name for it is "partial 16S ribosomal RNA". It matches the Rfam family "Bacterial small subunit ribosomal RNA", at positions 28 to 507 of the family's 1533-position model. The record is from RNAcentral.